RNAcentral lists this ribosomal RNA (289 nucleotides) under uncultured bacterium. RNAcentral's name for it is "partial 16S ribosomal RNA". It matches the Rfam family "Bacterial small subunit ribosomal RNA", at positions 775 to 1067 of the family's 1533-position model. The record is from RNAcentral.
GGAUUAGAUACCCUGGUAGUCCAUGCCGUAAACGAUGAGUGUUCGCCCUUGGUCUAUUCUGAUCUGGGGCUCAGCUAACGCGUUAAACACUCCGCCUGGGGAGUACGGUCGCAAGACCGAAGCUCAAAGGAAUUGACGGGGGCCUGCACAAGCGGUGGAGCAUGUGGUUUAAUUCGAUACAACGCGCAGAACCUUACCAGCCCUUGACAUAUGAACGAGAAACCCUAUCCUUAACGGGAUGGUACUGACUUUCAUACAGGUGCUGCAUGGCUGUCGUCAGCUCGUGUUG